AUUGAACGCUGGCGGCAGGCCUAAUACAUGCAAGUCGAGCGGACGAAGGGAGCUUUUUCCUGGCUUAAGUGGCGGACGGGCGGGUGAUGCCCAGGAAGAUGACCGGCCGAUGGGGCUGACGUCCGGUAACGGGAGCUGAUCUCGUACACGUUCUGAGGGUGAACGUGGGGGUUCUACGGUCAACACGCUAUCAGAUGAGCCUAGUGCGGAGUAGCGCGCUGGUGGGGUAAAGGGCUACCAAGGCGACGAUCCGUAACUGGUCUGAGUAGAUGACCAGUCACCCUGGAACUGAGACACGGUCCAGACUCCUAAGGGAGGCAGCAGUGGGGAAUAUUGGACAAUGGGCGAAAGCCUGAUCCAGCCAUGCCGCGUGUGUGAAGAAGGGCUUCGGAUUGUAAAGCACUUGUAGUUGGGAGGAAGGACAGUAAGUUAAAACCUUGCUGUUUUGACGGUACCAACAGAAUAAGCACCGGCUAACUUCGUG
This 484-nucleotide ribosomal RNA is filed under the name uncultured bacterium. RNAcentral describes it as "partial 16S ribosomal RNA". It matches the Rfam family "Bacterial small subunit ribosomal RNA", at positions 30 to 507 of the family's 1533-position model. The record is from RNAcentral.